RNAcentral lists this ribosomal RNA (436 nucleotides) under uncultured bacterium. RNAcentral describes it as "bacterial SSU rRNA". It matches the Rfam family "Bacterial small subunit ribosomal RNA", at positions 29 to 507 of the family's 1533-position model. The record is from RNAcentral.
AACGAACGCUGGCGGCAGGCUUAACACAUGCAAGUCGAACGCUCGUAGCAAUACGGGAGUGGCGGACGGGUGAGUAACGCGUGGGAACGUGCCCUGAGGUACGGAAUAACUGCGGGAAACUGCAGCUAAUACCGUAUGAGCCCCGCAAGGGGAAAGAUUUAUCGCCUUGGGAGCGGCCCGCGUCGGAUUAGCUAGUUGGUGGGGUAACGGCCUACCAAGGCUUCGAUCCGUAGCUGGUCUGAGAGGACGAUCAGCCACACUGGGACUGAGACACGGCCCAGACUCCUACGGGAGGCAGCAGUGGGGAAUCUUGCGUAAUGGGGGCAACCCUGACGCAGCCAUGCCGCGUGAAUGAUGAAGGCCUUAGGGUUGUAAAGUUCUUUUGCCCGUGACGAUGAUGACGGUAACGGGAGAAUAAGCUCCGGCUAACUUCGUG